This 64-nucleotide transfer RNA is filed under the name human gut metagenome. It matches the Rfam family "tRNA", at positions 6 to 65 of the family's 71-position model. Rfam says of the family: Transfer RNA (tRNA) molecules are approximately 80 nucleotides in length. Their secondary structure includes four short double-helical elements and three loops (D, anti-codon, and T loops). The record is from RNAcentral. RNAcentral also lists the same sequence under 1 other name.
UAUUAGCUCAGUUGGCUAGAGCAGUUGACUCUUAAUCAAAAGGUCCUGGGUUCGACUCCCAGAU